Non-coding RNA from Durio zibethinus, 1284 nucleotides. The record is from RefSeq and is a predicted model, not a curated record. Lineage: Eukaryota; Viridiplantae; Streptophyta; Magnoliopsida; Malvales; Malvaceae.
CAUCUAAAAAAUUAAAAUAAAAAAGAAAGAGAAAAAAAAAAUCCAAUCUUCAAAUUUAUUUUCUUUGUUUUCAAUGAUUCAUCAUGAAUAAAUCCUGGCAGAUUUAGAAGGCACCAAGUAAGUGAAGUAGAUCAGAUCUGAAAAGGAUUGGAUUUAUUUCUCAAGCAAAUUUCCUCUUGAAAAGCUUCGGAUCUAUUACUUCUAUCUAGAAGUGCUUGGUAGAGUGCUGAAGAAAGGCAUUUGGUUCUCAUACUUUGAAUUGUCUUCACCUUGCCUCGUUACGUACUUAAAAAGUGUUACUCGGCAGAAAACUGAAGAAAAAGCAGUUGGUUGUCACACUUUGGACUAUCUUCACCUUGCUUGAAGUUUCUUCAAUUUGAGCUGUCAAGAAUGGCUUGUGGGUUUUGCGAGAAUGCUCUCUCUAACUGCGUGGGAACACUGCUCGUGGAUUGGGUGGCGAAGCCAGUAGGACGUCAAUUUAAUUACAUUCGCCAUUUUCAUGACAAUGUUGAAAAGCUCAAAGAAAGAAAAGAAGAACUAAUAAUGGCACGGGCUCGGCUGCAACAUGAGAUUGAGUAUGCUGAAAGGCGACUUCAAGGAAUUGAAGAUGAUGUCAGAUUUUUGCUAUCAAAGGCGGACAAAAUCCUAUCAGAUAUGGAAACUCUAGAAAAGGAAUUGCAGCAAAACAAGAGAUGUUUCAAUUGGUGUCCUAAUUGGAGUUGGCGGUAUAGAUUAAGAAGAAAGCAAUAAAGAACACUCUUGUUAUUUGUGAGCUUAUAGAGAAGAUUAACAAAUUUGGUCAACCUGGACGAGUGGGCUACCGUUCACGUAGUACAAAUCCGACCAUAGAAUUUCUCUCAUCUAAGGAUUUUAUGGUUUUUGAAUCUUCAAAAAAAGGUUUCGAUCAGAUAAUUGAAGCCUUACAGGAUGACAAGGUCAGCAUGAUUGGAUUGUGGGGGAUGCCAGGGGUGGGCAAGACAACCCUUGUCCGAGAAGUUGGAAUUCAUGCCAAAAAAUUAAAUCUGUUUGACAGAGUUGCGAUUGCUACUGUGUCUCAAAAGCCAAACUUUGAAACAAUUCAAGAUGAAAUUGCAAAAGACUUGGAUUUCGAUAUGAAGAAUGCCCAAGGAAGAAGAUCAAUCCAAGAGUUCUGGUCGAAACUGCGGGAACUACAGAAGGAUAAAAGGAUUCUAAUAAUCCUUGAUGAUGUUUGGGCAAAAAUUGACUUGAAGGAGAAGAUAGGAAUUCCAUUUGCCGAGGAUCAUAAAGGCUGCAAAAUUCUUU